This 216-nucleotide ribosomal RNA is filed under the name uncultured fungus. Its description in RNAcentral is "partial small subunit ribosomal RNA". The stretch from base 91 to 216 matches the Rfam family "Eukaryotic small subunit ribosomal RNA", at positions 736 to 864 of the family's 1831-position model. Lineage: Eukaryota; Fungi. The record is from RNAcentral.
GACCUGGCUGUGUGGUCUUGCCAAAUGGUAAGCACUGCUCUGGUUGGGUCUUUCCUUCUGGGGAAUCAGUGUGCUCUUAAUUGAGUGCGCUGGGGAUCCAGGACUUUUACUGUGAAAAAAUUAGAGUGUUUAAAGCAGGCCUUCGCUUGAAUACAUUAGCAUGGAAUAAUAGAAUAGGACUUUGGUUCUAUUUUGUUGGUUUCUAGGACCGAAGUA